AAAAAGACAAACACUGAGUUUCCAUAUCUAACGUUUGACUGUCCGUCUUAUAUGAAAUUUUUUAUAAUUACUAUUUUUAUUAUUGUUAGAUGAUAAAAUAUAAUUAAUAUUUUAUGCGUGACUUGUCUUUUUAAUUUUUUUUUAUAAUUUUUUUAAUAAGACGGACGGUUGGAAACUCAAGAU
This 183-nucleotide microRNA precursor is filed under the name Oryza rufipogon (brownbeard rice). Its description in RNAcentral is "MIR812 microRNA precursor family". It matches the Rfam family "MIR812 microRNA precursor family". The record is from Rfam by way of RNAcentral. Lineage: Eukaryota; Viridiplantae; Streptophyta; Magnoliopsida; Poales; Poaceae.